AUUGAUCUAUGCUGGUCGAUUUGGGUGACUACUCAGUUUGUGUGGUCAAACUUUGUGACUGUUGAUUGUGUGUCAUCGUAGCCCAAUGAUGCCAGUAGGGUGAAUUGUUGCUCAUAACAUCAACCACUAGGUUGUCAAGACUCACUUAUGAACAGGCUGAAUUGUUGCUGAGUGCAGUGUAAAGCAUCAAUACAAAAAUAGGAACAAAAACGUUAAUUCUGGAGAUCCUCCCACUUUAUCAGCAAUUUACUCAUGUGUUAAUUUCAGGUAAUGGAGAAAUCACAGCAGCUUCAAAGAUGUCAGGAUCAGGACAAAUCACAGAAGAUUUAGAGAUUGCAGGAGUUUGAAGAAUCACAGGAAAUGCAAAGAUUGCCUGAGCUGGAUGUUUAUGCAUUCAGUGAUGAUGACCUGGACCUACAAGUGACCCUACUUCAGGGGUUACUCCAUGAGGAAUCAUCACAGGAACAUCAUGAGGUUAGUAAAGCAGAAACAGAAACCCAGAUAGCCCACCUGUACCUGUAAAGUUUGCAUACUAUUGUUACCGGGGGCUCAGGUGGCCUACUCAUCUAUGGCGCCGCAAUUCGCUGUGCAGAGUUGCAUCCCCUGGGCACACCAGAAACCUAUGAUUGUGGGUUCGAAUCCUGGUUUGCCCCGGUUCUAGGUUUGU
This is a long non-coding RNA of Haliotis rufescens (red abalone), 667 nucleotides long. RefSeq lists it as uncharacterized. Lineage: Eukaryota; Metazoa; Mollusca; Gastropoda; Lepetellida; Haliotidae. The transcript is spliced from 3 exons. The record is from RefSeq and is a predicted model, not a curated record.